Molecule: long non-coding RNA, 907 nt
Organism: Carassius auratus (goldfish)
Lineage: Eukaryota; Metazoa; Chordata; Actinopteri; Cypriniformes; Cyprinidae
Exons: 4
Source: RefSeq, a predicted model, not a curated record
UGGAGCAUCUUUCUUCCUCAGUCAGUCGAACAUCUCCGACAGAACUGAGGUUAGCAUGUGAGGAUUCAUGAAGAUUGAAACCGGUCGUUUACAGGCUGUGUACCUUGGGGAAAAGUUUUCGGCUGUCAAAAAGCGCUUGGUUUUAUUGACCAGGAUGAAACAAUCAAAACGUGCACUGGAAUUGACUGACUUGAGCUUUUUGUCUGCUGAGGAAAGGGAAGCCAUCCGUUAAGUGCUCCUGAAAGAUGAAGAUUUAAAACGACUGGAGAGGGGAAGACUCAGAGGCAUCAUCUGCUCCAAGAGUGGAUGGAAGAAAAGAAAAACUAUGAGCAAAACUCAAUUGCCCUGACCCACAAUGCAGUUCAUCAGAAGUACAACCCAAAGAGCUCUCUGAUGACCGAAAAAGAUCUGUUUUUCCAUUCUUAAGUGCAGUUCAAGAAAGAGGCUCCACAGAACAUGCAACAAAUCCAGAGCCAAGGCGAAAAAUUUACUUCCUCCAGUACUACGGAAAGAGCAACUGUUUGAAGAGAAAUGGGUGGGUCAAAGAACAGCAAAAGGAUUACGUUGCCUGAUAGGUUUGCGCCUCAGUUUAGGAAUAGGACAAAGCUAUGACAAGAAAGUUGAUUGGAUGGAUUCGAUGGAUGAGGAAAUUCAAAUAUGGAAAAGAAUGUUGGCUAAUCCAAACAGCUGGGUUGAGGGAGAGCUUCCUCUGAGGUCCUCCAUGACCCCGAGGAAAUGAACCUCCUGAGGCUGUGGUCUCAGAUGUUUAGUUGCAAAAGAAAAACAGUUGUUGGUUCCCAAAACAAACCAAGCACAUUCUAUUACCAAUUCAUUUUCUCCUUUCAGGCAUUCUCUUAACAAAAAAGGAUAUUUUCUGCAAUGAUAAAAAGAGUAUAUUAAAUAAUAU